GUUGAUAAGGUUAAGUGAAUAAGGGCGCACGGUGGAUGCCUUGGCACUAGGAGCCGAUGAAGGACGGGACUAACACCGAUAUGCUUUGGGGAGCUGUACGUAAGCUAUGAUCCAGAGAUUUCCGAAUGGGGGAACCCAACAUCUUUAAUAGGAUGUUACGAUUGUGUGAAUACAUAGCACAUUCGAGGUAGACGCAGAGAACUGAAACAUCUAAGUACCUGCAGGAAGAGAAAGAAAAUUCGAUUCCCUGAGUAGCGGCGAGCGAAACGGGAAAAGCCCAAACCAGCAAGCUUGCUUGUUGG
RNAcentral lists this ribosomal RNA (302 nucleotides) under Enterococcus faecium. Its description in RNAcentral is "partial 23S ribosomal RNA". It matches the Rfam family "Bacterial large subunit ribosomal RNA", at positions 1 to 295 of the family's 2925-position model. Lineage: Bacteria; Bacillati; Bacillota; Bacilli; Lactobacillales; Enterococcaceae. The record is from RNAcentral.